RNAcentral lists this ribosomal RNA (492 nucleotides) under uncultured bacterium. Its description in RNAcentral is "partial 16S ribosomal RNA". It matches the Rfam family "Bacterial small subunit ribosomal RNA", at positions 29 to 507 of the family's 1533-position model. The record is from RNAcentral.
AGUGAACGCUGGCGGUAGGCCUAACACAUGCAAGUCGAACGGCAGCACAGUAAUAGCUCGUUCUUACGGGUGGCGAGUGGCGGAUGGGUGCGGAAUACAUCGGAAUUAACUUUUUCGAGGGGGAUAAAGUAGGCAAACAUACGCCAAAAGUGCAUACGACCUACGGGUGAAAGCAUGGGAUCUUCGGCCCUCGCGCGAUCGAAUGACGCGAUGUCGGAUUAGCUAGUUGGCGGGGUAAAGGCCCACCAAGGCGACGAUCCGUAGCUGGUCUGAGAGGAUGGUCAGCCACACUGGAACUGAGACACGGUCCAGACUCCUACGGGAGGCAGCAGUGGGGAAUAUUGGACAAUGGGCGCAAGCCUGAUCCAGCCAUACCGCGUGUGUGAAGAAGGCCUUCGGGUUGUAAAGCCCUUUUGUUGGGGAAGAAAAGCAGCAGGUUAAUACCCCGCUGUUCUGACGGUACCCAAAGAAUAAGCACCGGCUAACUUCGUG